RNAcentral lists this ribosomal RNA (468 nucleotides) under uncultured bacterium. RNAcentral's name for it is "partial 16S ribosomal RNA". It matches the Rfam family "Bacterial small subunit ribosomal RNA", at positions 28 to 508 of the family's 1533-position model. The record is from RNAcentral.
GACGAACGCUGGCGGCGUGCUUAACACAUGCAAGUCGAACGAUGACGACCGAGCUUGCUCGGUCUGAUUAGUGGCGAACGGGUGAGUAACACGUGAGCAACCUGCCCUUCACUCUGGGAUAACCUCGGGAAAUCGGGGCUAAUACCGGAUAUGAGCUCCUGUCGCAUGGCGGGUGUUGGAAAGUUUUUCGGUGAAGGAUGGGCUCGCGGCCUAUCAGUUUGUUGGUGAGGUAGUGGCUCACCAAGGCGAUGACGGGUAGCCGGCCUGAGAGGGCGACCGGCCACACUGGGACUGAGACACGGCCCAGACUCCUACGGGAGGCAGCAGUGGGGAAUAUUGCACAAUGGGCGAAAGCCUGAUGCAGCGACGCCGCGUGAGGGAUGACGGCCUUCGGGUUGUAAACCUCGUUCAGCAGGGAAGAAGCGAAAGUGACGGUACCUGCAGAAGAAGCGCCGGCUAACUACGUGC